UCCCAUAUGUUCUAGUGGUUAGGAUUUGGCGCUUUCACCGCCAUGGCCUGGGUUCAAUUCCCGGUGUGGGAA
RNAcentral lists this transfer RNA (72 nucleotides) under Saccoglossus kowalevskii. RNAcentral's name for it is "tRNA-Glu". It matches the Rfam family "tRNA". Rfam says of the family: Transfer RNA (tRNA) molecules are approximately 80 nucleotides in length. Their secondary structure includes four short double-helical elements and three loops (D, anti-codon, and T loops). The record is from RNAcentral. Lineage: Eukaryota; Metazoa; Hemichordata; Enteropneusta; Harrimaniidae.